UUUUUCUGUGAAAGUUAAUGAGUCUGCCUAGUAUUUAUCUAAUGAGGGUAAUUACCCACAACUGAAAUUACUUGCUCCAUUUGGGUAAAGACACCUCUCUUGGAGGUGAUGUGCUGCUUUGUCCUGUGCCCAGACCAGCACAGCUUGGAGCCUGCAGGAUGGUUGGGCGUUUCCAAGUACUGGUCUGGAAUUCUCUAUGAAAAUAUUGAGCAAAGCAACUGAUUUUUGAAACAAAACUUGCUGAAUUGAAUCAAUAGUCUGAGAACGUACCAGUACAUCUUGCUGGGAUCCUCCAUGGAUGAUGUCUUUCAAAGGCUCUUCCAUCCUUCCUGGUGAUGAAACCCAGUCUGCAGUGUCCUGCAGCUCUACCAAAGCCACCAGCAUUACUUGUUACCAUGUUUGGCUCAUUUUGGGUGGGGAACUGUUCUGCAACUUGCAGUUCUUGUCUGCAUGUAUGCACUGAUAGACACAGCUUUCUUUUGGAUGGCUUACCAAAACUUUUUGAGAUGAUGAUGAUGCUUUUUGGAAUCCUGUAACAAUUUUAGGCUAAGGCUUUCCACGUUCUCAGAGUCUACGGACAAAUGAACACAAACCACUGGGAGAUGUCCUGCCAGACAGAGAUGAAUAGGACGGCCGGCGGGUGCGCGCUGCUGGGCACAGGCCCAGGCUCAGUGCUCAGGACUACUGCUGACCUA
Tympanuchus pallidicinctus (lesser prairie-chicken) is the source of this 695-nucleotide long non-coding RNA. RefSeq lists it as uncharacterized. The transcript has 3 exons. Lineage: Eukaryota; Metazoa; Chordata; Aves; Galliformes; Phasianidae. The record is from RefSeq and is a predicted model, not a curated record.